AGAGUUUGAUCCUGGCUCAGGAUGAACGUUGGCGGUGUGCCUAAUACAUGCAAGUCGAACGGAGUUAAUAGCAAUAUUGACUUAGUGGCGAACGGGUGAGUAACGCGUUGGUGAUCUGCCUCGAAGUGUGGAAUAACGUUCCGAAAGGAACGCUAAUACCGCAUGUGCUCUCGAUUUUUAGAAAGUUGAGAGUAAAGGAUUUAUUCGCUUCGAGAGGAGCCUGCGUCCCAUCAGCUGGUUGGUAGGGUAACGGCCUACCAAGGCUAUGACGGGUAGGGGACCUGAGAGGGUGGCCCCCCACAAUGGAACUGAAACACGGUCCAUACACCUACGGGUGGCAGCAGUAGGGAAUAUUAGAAAUGGACGAAAGUCUGAUCUAGCAACACCGCGUGUGCGAAGAAGGCCUUCGGGUCGUAAAGCACUUUUUGGAAGGAAUAGGAAGGAAUGUACUUCCAGAAUAAGUCUCGGCUAACUACGUGCCAGCAGCCGCGGUAACACGUAGGAGGCGAACGUUAUCCGGAUUUACUGGGCGUAAAGCGCGUGUAGGUGGUUCUGUAAGUAGGGCGUGAAAGCUCCCGGCUCAACUGGGAGAGGCCGUUCUAAACUACAGAGCUAGAGGAUGGUAGAGGGAGGUGGAAUUCCAGGUGUAGCGGUGGAAUGCGCAGAUAUCUGGAGGAACACCAGUGGCGAAGGCGGCCUCCUGGACCAUUCCUGACACUCAGACGCGAAAGCUAGGGUAGCAAACGGGAUUAGAGACCCCGGUAGUCCUAGCCCUAAACGAUGUAGACUAGACGUCGGUGGUUUAAUCACCAUCGGUGUCCAAGCUAACGCGAUAAGUCUACCGCCUGGGGACUACGGCCGCAAGGUUAAAACUCAAAGGAAAUUGACG
Molecule: ribosomal RNA, 889 nt
Filed under: uncultured bacterium
Lineage: Bacteria
Description: bacterial SSU rRNA
Rfam family: Bacterial small subunit ribosomal RNA
Source: RNAcentral